UGAGUUUAGCAGUUUUAGAACAGCUUGCUGCUCCAACAACUUUAAAGUUGUCUUGGUGUACUGCUACAGAAAUAGGCUGCAUCCACAACAUAUUAACUCUGAAUUUAUCUAUUGAUUUUGCCAGUUUUCCAGAAUAGUACUUUUCGGAUUGUAUAGGACCUUUUUGACUAAUUUUUUCUUUGUUUUCUGAGUAUUGCUGCAGAAAACCUGUUUUAUGCUUAGUUUCACUUUUUGAUAAUUCAAUCGGAAUUUCUUUCACAAGUGUUUCUUUUCUUUCUUCAAUGCAGUGAACCUUGAUGGAAAAAUAUUUACGAAGGUUUUAUAAGAUAUCCAUUCUCAAACACCUAAGGUAGCAUUACAGAUAGUUAGAUAUUCAUAGUUUUUUUCUUAAUUACCAUGAAUUAUUUUUUAAGUGUUAACCUUUCCAUUUCACAGGAGAGCAAUUUAUUUUUCUUAUAAGCGACGAAAUGUAUGCUACUCAACUGCGCAAGUGUAAAUCUGCCUAACUGUUGCUACUGACAACAGUAAGAGCCUACUCAAUCUUUGAAUUCAGUUACAAAUAUCAUAGUCAGCUAAUGUGAAAACUCUCAUAUUGUUCCUCUAGUUUUCUAGAUCAAGCUCGGCAUGCAAGCUGUGUUGGCACAAAGAUUUGGUUGAUUCAAGGAGGUUUCUGGCACUUCAGUAAUUAACAGAAAACUACUACUCUAGCUGGGGCAACUUCAGAUGUUCCUAGUGGUUCUAUGAUUGGCAGGUCCGGCCAGUGCCAUCUUAAGCAGCUGUGAACCAAGUGUUCCUUUACAUUGCACUCAUCUAGAUCAACAGAGUAGCUAGGGUUGCGCGCUCAGUCUGACCGAACUGAACCGAUCGGUUCUUCAGGUUUUAGCAGAUUUCGGUUACCUAAAACUAGGAACCGAUUGGUGCCAAAAGUUUCCAAGACUGAGUAGCUUCAUGCAUUCUAUGCUGCUCACACUUGCUUGCUUAUAUACGAGGUGAUUGUUACACUUUCCCUGAGGUCAUUUUGUGAUGCCAGUAGACAUUGUAAAUGCCGUUCUUUUCCUGGAGAAAUAUUGAUCAAGCUUUUCUCCUCGGUGACUUUGCUUGCAGGAAUGUCUCAUUGGAAGGUGACAUUGAGGGCUGGCACUGUACCUCCCUGCAUGCCCUGCUGCCCACCUACUGCAUCCUGACCACGGUCCGUGUGCGGGAUGGCUCGACCACUGUAUUGCUUCCGGAGGGGCCGCUCUGCGACGUUCUCCGGCACUCUACAACCAUGUGGUCACCGCGGUCCGUGUGCGCGAUGGUCCGUGGGCGUCGACCGCUUCGGAGAACGUGUGUGCACGAUACUACCUAGUAUUUAUAUGUAAGGAUUUGACAGUUCAGUUAUGUAUGAGUAGUAUAGUUAGUAUAAGAAUAUAUUUGGAAAAUAAGUAUAAUAACUUUGUUAAAAUAUAUCACAUCUUUCUUCGUUAUCCUAUCUUAUUUCCUUUUCCUUUACUCCUCGCGUCUCCUCGUUUCCACCUCUCGACUAGCGGCGAUGGCGGCGGCGACUGGCGACGAUAGAGGCGGCGACUGGCGGCGGCGGGCGGCGUCGACUGGCGGUGACUGCGCGGCGGGGGGCGACGACGGCCUCGUCCACGGAAGCGCAAGAUCCAUCCGAGCCGCCGGAGACUCCGCGCCACAUCCAUCUGUCCACGGCGGCCUCUCUCUCUGUCUCGUCGCCGCCGCCAUCGCUUGAAAGGGGAGAAAAGCAGGGAUGGGUUCUUGCGCUUCGGUUCAAAACAAGGAUUCUGGCUUCCCCAAGAAGCAGUUUCUUGCGUCGCCCACCAAGGCGAAGGCCGCCAACGGCAAGGGCGGCGACGGCGUUGCUCCGCUUGGCGAUGGCUUUGGUGAUCUCAAGUCCAAGGCCGAGGGGGAGCAGCAGCGGGCAGGUUUUGGCCCAAAGAGCCCGGAUUCUAGUACGCGUGAUGAAUCUUUGCUUUCUUUGGUUGUUUUCUGAAGCGAGGUCCCGAUCUUUAUCUUUUCAGUCAGUUAUUACUAUAGUUUAGAGAGGAUCUUUGGAAGUAAAGAAGCAGAUGGGCAGUCAGUUCUUUAUAUGAAAAGGGACUUUUUGGGUUCGUUUAUUGAUUUAUUGGGCUCUGGAAGAUUUGAUAGCCAAGUGUAGUGUUAUCGCUGCAUUAAUCUCUUCUGGAGAUCAGUUAGCUUCGUAAUUUUGCAGGGGCUGACGAUCUUGAACGGAAAAGGAUCUUUGUUGAUAUACUGACUGAUUUUGGUUUCUUUUAAUGGAGGAGUUUUAGCUGUUACAAUUUGUUCUUGAAAAUUUAAAGCUUUCUAAAUGACGAUGAUCUCUUCUAUCCAAAGUAGAUUACUCUAUUGACUGAAGGCUUUUUACAGCCUGAUCAUUUCUGUUGUUUCGUACUUUCGUUAGAAUGGAGGAGUUUUUUUUUUGUGCGUGUAAAAUUGCUGACUAAAUCCUAAAUUGAAAUGGCACACGGCUUUGUUGAGGGAAUCAAGAUCUUGCCAAUAACCUCUUGAAUAGCUUAGUUGCAAUGGGCUGUGCUUCAAUGUUUCUUUCCCCAAAAUCAAUUGCUAGCUCUUGAUGGUUCUGAAUUUCGCUUAGUUGAAAUUGUUCUCUUCACUGAUACACACUCAUAUACCAAGCUGAUUGAAUUUAUCUCUCCACUUAGCUGAAAGUACAAUAACAUGAAUACAGUGACUCUUUUAAUCAAGAGUGCAACUUAUGGGAUUUAAUUUGCAGGCAGCAAGGAUGAAGUGUUCUUCGAGUCUCGAGCUUGGUUAGAUUCAGACUGUGAGGAUGACUUUUACAGUGUGAAUGGAGGUAAUCAAACCGUUGACAUGUUUAAUUGGUAACUGCCAAAAGAAGCUUCAAUGUAGUUUUAGAUAGGCAAAGACAUAGUUUUCUUCUAUACUUGUGUUGUGUGCAAUUGUCCUGGCUCAUCAUACUGUGAUUACUUUUGCACCUUACCAUUCCCUUUUUUAGGUUGUCCUAUUAUUAUAUCAGUAGCAUGUGCAUGUGGAUUGUUCCACUUGUUGCGCGCAAAUUGCAUGUGCUGUGAUAGGUUCUUGAUGAUACAACCUUUAAUUGUCUCUAGAAUCUAAGGGGCCUAAUUUAUAGUUUGAUUGGCUAUCGAAACAAAAAGGUCAUGCCUUUGAUUUUGUCUUUGGGUGCUAUCAUGUUUCUUAGCAUCUAACAGUUAUGGACAUGGACCCCCACCUUAAGUUUCAUAACCUAUCCCAUGUGGUCCUUACCAAAUCACUCUAGCAAUAUCCUGGAAACAUAACACAUUCAUUCAUGGGCUUUGACGUUGUAAGGAGAGUUCUGAUGCACUCAAGUUCAAUAGUUGAAUAAGUAGAUAUCCCUAUCAGCCCAUGUGAUGUGAUUCGCUUCAGUUGCUGCAUAAUCUAAGUUGUGCUUUUCUUAUGCAGAUUUCACUCCACCUCGUGGCAGCACACCGAACUACCAACCUAGAAUGCAAACAGUGAUGACCAAGAUCUUUCAACCGGACAAUUCAGACAAGUCCAAAUCACCAGAACCUUCUCCAACUGGCAGGAGGAAACUAGCCGAGCUCCUGCAGGAGGCGAUGCAAAAUGGCCCUGAAGAAAGAACUGAUCUCAGCAAGAAUGAGAAGAAGCAGUUGCAAUCUGUCGCUGCAGACGGGAAGCUGGUGUCUGAAUCCACAUCCAGCUCCGCUUGCAGCACGGAACUAACGCCGACCUUGGUCGCCAAGAGCCGGAAGGAGAAGGCAUGGUACUCCGGGCGCUGUUGCCUGCCGAGCUUUGUUCAUAGCCUGACCUUAGAUGAGAGUGAGAGGGGGCAGAAGAUGAGCUCUGGGCCAUGUGCUGUUUGACAGUGGUGCUCCAGUGCCCUCCUGCCCUGAGCUGUAUUUAGCACGAUAUAUUGCUCGAUCUGGACCCUGAAGCUACUGUAAAGAAGUGGGGGGGUAUUAAGAGUACUAUAUCCUUGUAGGAAUCAAGUGUAUAAUAGCUACCCGUUAAAUUGAUGUGGACUGCAUGUUGAUCAACUGCAAGAGUAGAACAUCUACCCUGUGCAUAUCUUCUCGAAUCUUCAUGGAUAUAAAUAUAUAUAGUUUCAGAUGUCAAAUGCCAGCAUAGCUAGGGCAUGUCAGCAUGUGACAUGUGGGAUACCAUGCCUUUCAAUAGUUCAUGUAAUGUGAUUGAGGUCUUGUUUAGUUUUCAAAUUGGGAGUGGCAAAGUUUGCAUUUUGCCAUAAAUACGAAACUGUAGCAUUUCGUUUGUAUCUGUGAAUUAUUGUCCAAACAUUGACUAAUUAGGCUUAAAAGAUUCGUCUAGCAAAGUACAACAAAACUGUGGAAUUAGUUUUUGAUUUCGUCUAUAUUUAGUACUUCAUGCAUGUACCACAAGUUUAAUGUGAUGGGGAAUUUUCUUUUUGCAUAGUGUCAAAGUUGAGAAAAAGAUGACUAAAUUGUGAUGCCCUAUUGGCACUUGCAUGAUUGACGCCAGACAAAUGUAUUGCUCUAUCCUGUAUCAAGUGUACCUUUUUGUUUGCCCCUCGGAUAUCUGCAAUGGUCAAGUCAUGGAUCAAGCCGGGUGCGUGUUUUGCAGCACACUGAUGGAGCUUGUGGCAAGGACAGGCUAAUAUCUGCUCAGAAUGUGGAAAACUACACCUCUGCGUUCGUCAUUCCUGUUCUUUCCUAACCACCAAACAAUGAUUCAGGGAUAAUCGUCAAAGCAUUCAUGGAUGACCAAACGACCCGCAAAUCCUGUUGUCCUGACAUGCAAGUCUGAGAAUGUACCUGCAGAUAUUAUACACAUCAUCGACCGCUUCCUACGAAACAGGGCCGCCAGAGUGGCUGCGGCGGAGAAGGUGAAACUGCAGUUGAUGCUGAACGGCAUGCAACUGAGGGACGGGGACGACACCCGGUGCUGCCUGCUGCAAGGAACCCACGGCGAGCUCAGAAAUCAGAAUGUCCGUGCUAUAUCGCACUCUGAUGGCGGCCACAGACCUCUCUCCCUGCCACUUCGCCUCCUACGUCUGGAAGAAUCGUGCUCCGCCACGAGUGAAGUUCUUCAUCUGACUCUUGGUCCAGGAACGAAUACCAUUACCAUGCAGGGGCAAUUUGGCCGAGAAGCACAUGCUGCCGAACGCCAUGUGCGACCUCUGUGGCCACCUGGAAGAAACGACGGACCACAUCAUCUUCCAGUGUCCGACAGCUCUCGCUCUCUGGGCACGCCUGGGGUACUGCGCAGGUUGCUGCAUGCGUCCUGCCGUGAUGAUACAAAGCGCUGAGCGGCGCGGGUUCCUGGUGCUCGCUCUUUUCUCCCAUGCAGAACACCGAUGUGAUAUCUUUCAUCCGUCCUGUAACCCCAAACUGCUGUAAACUGAGUCCAUGUUUCCCUUCAAACUCCCAACUUUAACACUAUGCAAAAAGAAGAUUCCCCAUCAUAUUAAACUUGCAGUACAUGCAUGGAGUACUAAAUGUAGACGAAAUCAAAAACUAAUUGCACAGUUUUGUUGUACUUUGCGAGACGAAUUUUUUGAGCCUAAUUAGUUAAUAUUUGGACAAUAAUUCACAAAUACAAACGAAACACUACAGUUGUGCAUUUGUGGCAAAAUGCUAAUUUUGCCACUCCCAAAUUGGAAACUAAAUAAGGCCUGAACUGAUAUAGCCCUGUUUCGGACCUGAGAUCCUAAUGGAAGUUUCAGGUGGGGGAGUCUCCCCCGUGUCGACCUUUCACAAAAGAAAGUACGAUACUUAAAGUUUUGAAUUACAAUAUUUUCAAAACAUUUCAUCAAGAAAAAUUUAAGUGCAUAUGAAGGGGAAAAAAGGUCUUGACAUGAUAGCCAAACAAUUUAAGUGCAUACGCAGGGAUCUCCCCUGUGCACGCGCCCGGAUUUUCAAACGACGCCGACGAAGUCCAAAUAGAAGACUCCACGAACCCACGUUCUGCAAAUACGCGCGCGUUUUGACCCAAAUGACCGCGCGCCGGCACCAUUAGCGAAUACAAAAAUUGAACGAAGCCAGAGAACCGACGACCCUUGCCUCGGCCUAUAAAUAGAUGGAGUUUGGAGAGGAAAGCAAUCGAUCCCAGGCUGCUACGCUAAACACGAAACGCCGCCGCCAGGCUGCUGCGAUCCCUUGACGGAGAGCGGCACCGGCAAACACCACCCCAGCAAGCACCGGUGAGGAAGGAGAUCCGGCAAGGUGAGGAGCCUGAUGGCCGGCGUUCCUCUGAUCAUCUUCCCCUCGUCCUCCCUCUUUCUUGCUUCCCCAUGAUGCAAAUCAGAAGAAGGCUCAAGGCCCUGCCCGUCGAUUUGGUCUUUUGAUACAAACCACAACGGGAUGCAAGAAGGCCCCAAUCCUCGGCUCGGUCCGUUGAUAGAUACGACGUCAGGAUGGGAUGAGCUCUUGUUCUUCGAUUCGGUCUGUUGAUACCAACUCAUGGACAAGUGCUAAUGACUGCAUGUUGAAAGCGGUUGAACCAGGCUCUCCCUGCACUCCGAUCCGUAUACGGGUUCGCUCAUCAUGAAUCCCUGCAGCGAGUGGCAGCGGCAAGAACACAUAUAAAGUUACCUGCAUGCUGAUUACAAGUGGUUGCCUUAUGUAUACUACACGUGUAGGCUCUCCCUAUAUACUGGAGCAUACUGUCUUGUUAGUAGUAAAGCAGGUCGAUCAACCACCUCCAAAGAAACGAUCAUCUCUGUAUAAACUAUUAGAUAGAUGGCGUCAAAAGAAACAGUCAUGCGCUGCAUCGUCUGCAUGCAUGCAAGUUCAGUUUAGUAGUCUCCUACCCAUGCACCCCAUUGCCUAGCAGAAGCAUCAACUAGCAUCAUCUCAAUUUAUAAAAUCGGCUACAUUAAUUGAUUCUGUGGCCGCAUACUCAACUGCUCUAUGUCAAAAUAAUUAGCAUGCAUCGAAAUCUGCAGCUGCUUCAAAUCCUAUGCGUAGCCAAAUGCUUAGAUACUAAUGUAAACGUAGUCGAACUAAGAAAACUCUGCCACAUGCAUGAACGUCGUCUCUGCGUCUUGUCCUGAUCAACCAGGAUGAGAUAAACAAAGCUUACAAUAGCGACGCAAUACUCGUAGUAGCUGUGAGUUAAAUAAUGACAAAUCAUGCCUAAUCUAAAGGAACAGGCAGUCACGAUGUUUCCCUGAGAAAUACUAUAACCUGUCUCAUGCAAAUGACAGAGAAAAGGGAAACGUUAUAAGAAUAUCCGACAUCUGCAUCUCGGGUUCGAUAAGCGUACAAACAAACUAGCAGUAACCCAUGUGUACACAGAAUGUACCUCUGCUAAACCAUGCAUGAAUUCCAAAUAAGUGCAUGAGCUUGAAUUUUGUUUAAUUUUAAUGGAUCCUAAGUUUGAGCUAUAAUUUUAACAUAGAAAUCUAUAUUCUCACCAGUUUCUCUAUGUAUUUAUAAAUGGUGACACACAUCAUGUGUAUAUACCUUAAGUAUUGUAUUAUAUACCAAUGGUGUAAGAAUAGAUAAUUUAAAAUCAUAUAUUGGUGUACAUGGGGUAUAUUUUUAAUAAAUGUGAUUUAGAUUCAUUUUUAGAGUUACCUCAUAUUAUUUUUAAUAAUGAUAUAAGUGGGUAAUAUAGAUGCAAAUUUAGGGGUUACUUUAAGUUAUUUUUUAAGUAUUGGUGGUGGGCAAUUUAGUUGAAAAUUUAGGGAGUUAUGUUAAUUUUUUUAUAAUGGCAUAAGUGGGUAAUUUAGAUGAAGAUUAGGGGUUACUUUAGUUUAUUUAUAUAAUGACAAAGGUGGUUAUUUAGAUAGAUUUCAGAGGUUACUUUAGGCUAUUUUCAUAAUGGCAGAGGUGGGUAAUUUUUUAGAAAAUAUAAUAGAUCCAAUGGUAAUGAUGAUUUGAGUCUAUCGAUUGAUUGCCGGACGUUUUGCUUUUUUUAAGAAUUUUUAGGAUUUCUCUAUUUUUUUAGAGUGUCCACCUAAGAUCCUAGGUGGCUUCACCUGAAGGCUUCAAAAGGAGCCUCCAAUUAGUAAUAGUAAGAUGCGAUCCCAUGUUUUUUUACUCCUUGCAUUGAGGAGGUUUUUCCACGCAAAUCACUUGUCUUUGUGCAUGCCACUUUGAGUUUUUAUUGAUUUUCCCAAUUCCCAUGCUUCGAAUUCUUCUAUAAUGAUGUGUACUAAUGGAAAUUAAAGUCACAAUUUUCUGUUGCGCCAUGACAUUUCCUAAUAAAUAGCAGGUGAAUGGUCCAUAUCUAGACAUGCAUGGAGUCGCCUCAGGUAUUGAGGUAUCAUUAAACCAGCAUGCUCAAUAUGUUCUCACACAAAGUUGCACUGUUUCUGUUUUCCGAUGAUGGGUACUCCAUAUUAUUGUUUAAUGUUCUUUCCGGGGGAAAAAAACUAGGGACAUGAACCAUUCUAUAUUUCUGGACUUUGAGAUCUAGUGCUCUUGGGUUGCCUAUAUGGUUGUUGAAACUUGAAAACCAUAUUGACAGUAGUAGCUCUGAAGGUGUAGAAUUCUAAAUUAAACCUUCAUGCACUGCCCGAACUCUGAAAUAAAGUUGCAUACUACUCCACUUGAAUCCACCCAAUGCAUGAUUAAGCGUUGCGUGCAUAUAGGCAAAAUGGUCUGUUCUAUGUCUGAUUAAUUAGCAAAUGCAUCUGGUGUGUGCAGUGGAUAGUAGUUGUUACGUUGCAUCCCAGUUCCUAACAGCCUCCAUCAGACUUACAGUUAUUACGCCAGGUCAGCCAUUUUUUUUUUUGUCGUUGCUCCGCACCAAGAACGUGGAACGCAGCUUCGAAUCCCCAUUCCAAUUCCAUCCUCAUUGCGGCAGCGGGAGGGGAACUGGGGCAAGAGUCCAGCAGCAAAAUAAAAUACGCGAGGACGUUCUGCUAGGCAAAGAGAUUUCUUUCCGGAUCUCUAGCCGGACGUUGAGCAGGGUCUCCUAAUUGAAAGCUUUUAUUUUGGGGGGCAUCUCCUAAUUGAAGGAUUGGGCACUUGUUCCCAGCUCGCUUCUUGAGGUUGACAUCAGUGCGUUGCGUGAGUACACGUGAUUCGGAAUAUUGGCUGCGCAACAAACCAAGUGGUAAGGAAAAGAUCUUUCGACCAAGCAUCUGUCAUUUGUGGUCGGUCAUCAACACGCGAGAAAUUAAAAUUCCCAUCUGCUUUUGGGAUAUUUUGAUGAUCAGGCGGACCAUGGAAGUAUGGAACACAUGCUGCACCAUCCGGUGACCGAGACAAUAUCUGUCAUACGUUGGGCCCAGCCCGUGCCCACGCAAAAAAAAAAGAGAAGAUCAUGCUCACUGUUGUUAAGCAACAAAGCGACAACAGAACGUAGGAUCAAGAGCAGCCUAUAUGGUCACCAAGGGCAAGCAUCACGCCAUCCCCGAAGUAUCUCAAUGUACUUUUACUUGACACAUGCCUAUAAUUACAUACUGUAACGUCGAGUUCCUGACCCAUAAGCUUUAUGGACAAGCCGGAGUCAGGGGGGGACAAGACACCUCAUUUUUUAUGUCGCGACAUGUCGCCGCGAUGGCUUGACAGCGGCCCGUCACCGGCUUGUGGCUGCCGGUAAUGGAGCGGCUAGCUGGCCAGCCGGGCCAGCGAGACCUGAAGGUGAUGCCUCACCAUCACCGCGCUGGCAUGACAGCGACCCGGCACUAAUAAUGGAGCAGCUGGCUGUAGUGGCUUCACUUGGAAGCUGGUUCCGUUCAUCAGCUCAGUCCUUCCACGCUGCCAUCUCCAUUGUUCUCACUUCUCAGCACUGCACCCUUGGGAACGUAUGCGGUAUGCCUCAACGCACUGCCGCUCUCAUCUAGUCCUCUCGUCGUGUGAGUCUGCAUCCUCCUCAUUCCUCAGCUAGUUUGGCCUCUCGUAGGUGCUGAAUGUUGCCUGAUUCCAGACCAUCUUUCGUUCCCAGAUUCCAGCCUCCUCUGUUCCGAAGCGACGCCCAUGAGAAUUGAGAUGGCAUGGCACUACUAACCAGGAGGGAUUUGGCAUCGACGACUCCUUGUCCGACGACGUCUUCUCCGCCCCGCCCGGCCCGGUCCUCUGCUGUACAUCCUGUUUUCGGAUCUGGGGUGUCUUCUCCAACACCUCUGCCGGAUCUUACUCUUUUGAGGAAGUCUCUACAGAUUUGAGCACACGCUCUGGCUGAGUGCCAGCCCUGGUGUGCAUCCGUUUUGUGGUAGGUACACGUACACCUCUUUCUGUCAUGUUCCUCGAAUGAAUCCUUGUCACGUGUUACUGAUUUGUUCUCUGCGAUUGCAAAUGCCUUUCCCUCUGCCUUCGGAUCCAGAAGGAACCUGAACCACCGCGUGACUCGUGAAGAUGGAGUUCGCGUUCAGCGCGGCGCGGUGGGUGGUAGGCAAGGCGCUCGCCCCCGUCGCAGACGGCUUCCUGGAGGCGUGGGCGGCCAGCAAGAAUCUCGGCUCCGAGGUCGAUGGCCUCAUGACGGUGCUGCAGUACGCGCAGGCCAUGCUCAACAACACCCGUGGCAGGGAGAUCGACAACCCGGCCCUCAACGACCUGCUGCUCAAGCUGCGUCUGCUGGCCUACGACGCCGACGACGUGCUCGACGAGCUCGACUACUUCCGCAUCCAGGACGAGCUCGACGGCACCUACCAUGCCGCUAACGAGCACGCCGGGGGAUACGCCCGUGACCUCCUCCUCAAUGCUCGUCACACUGGAAGAUACGUUGCCAAUAAGUUCAAGCUCUCCUCAGGCUCGCCUGAUGCUACUCGUGGUGCUCCUAACAAGCAAGGAGAUGAUGCAGAAGGACAUGGGUGCCUCUCCAGCGUCCUCUGCUCGUGUGGCAUACGGGCGGACAGCUCGUCAUCACCACCACCACCACCACCAACAACAACACACACCAACCAUGGCGACAACAAGGUCGGUACUGAUGCCGGUUGCAUGUCGAAGGUCACCUCUGCUGCACGCAACACUGCCAAUGCUGUCGGUAAACGCCUCCCAUGCUGCUCUUCCAUAUUUGUCGAUGGUCGUGGACGACGAUUUCUAUGUGGUGUCUGGCCGUCCAAGGUACCGCAGAGAAGACAAACUGCACAGAUACCAAAAUUGAAGUUUGAUAGGGUGGAUGUAUCUACAAGGAUGACAGAGAUCGUAAAGAAGCUCAAGCCCAUCUGUGCUAUGGUCUCAACCGUUCUUAAUCUAGAGCUGAUAGGCUCCAAAGGUAUCACUACUGCCACCAUGGAACGGCCCACAACCAGUGAGGAAAUUACAGAGCCUAAAUUGUAUGGGAGGGAGACAGAGCUACAGAGUGUUGUAGAUUCCAUUACCCAUGGUGAAUGUUUUGCCAAUGAACUUACUGUGCUUCCAAUUGUUGGCCCGGGAGGUAUUGGGAAGACAACUUUCACACAACAUGUAUACCAAGAAGCGAGGAGCCAUUUCCAAGUUACAAUUUGGAUAUGCGUCUCUCUGGAUUUCAAUGCAGAUAGAUUGGCGCAAGAAGCUGUGAAAAAGAUUCCUGAAGUUAAAGAUGAAAACAAAAUUGGUAGUGAUCAAGAGCUAAUUGAGCAAAGAUUAAAAGGUAAACGGUUUUUGCUUGUCCUGGAUGAUAUAUGGAAAUGUCAUGAGUAUGAGUGGGAAAAACUACUAGCACCAUUUGGAAAAGGUGGAGGAAAAGGUAAUAUGGUUAUAGUCACAACUCGAAUGUCAGAUGUGGCCAAAAUGGUUAAGACAGGUGAUUCUCAAAUACAAUUGGAUCGUUUAGGAGCUCAAGAUUUUAAGGAUUUCUUUGACGCAUGUGUAUUUACCAAACAUGAGUCAUUGUCAGAUCAUACUGAGUUAAUUGAAACUGGGAAAGAAAUAAUGGCCAAACUGAAACGUAAUCCUCUUGCAGCAAAAACUGUAGGGAGAUUACUAAGAAAACAGCUCACUUUGGAGCAUUGGAGAAGGGUUCUAGAGAGCAAAGAAUGGGAACUCCAAACCAGUGACAAUGACAUUAUGCCAGCGUUGAAGAUUAGCUAUGAUUAUCUUCCACUUAACCUAAAGCAAUGCUUUUCCUAUUGUGCUUUGUUUCCUGAAGAUUACGAAUUUGACAGCAAAGAGUUAGUUCACUUUUGGAUAGGACUAGAUGUUUUACAUCUGGGUGAUCAGAGCAUAAGAAUAGAAGAUGUUGGCAAGAGUUAUUUGAUUGACUUGGUCAACUAUGGAUUUUUCAAAAGGAACGAAAAAGACAAUGGCUGUCAUUAUUAUGUUAUCCAUGACCUAUUACAUGAGCUGGCUGUGAAAGUUUCACGGUACGAUUGUCUUAGCAUACAAAUAUCUAAAGUGAGGUCUGCACAUAUCCCGGCAUCAGUACGCCACUUGUCUAUCAUUGUGGAUAACAAAGAUGUUGAGGAUAUAAUUACUUAUAAAGACUUUGAGAAGGAUCUUGGUGCACUUGAUAAAAGGCUACAAAUUGAAAACAUACGUACAUUGAUGUUGUUUGGUGAAAAUGUGCAGAGUUUUUCCAAAACAUUUGGUAAUUUGUUUAAGAAAGCUGGAGCCCUUCGCGCUAUUUUUUUGUCUGGAGCAUCAUAUAUUGUGGAGGAUAUGUGGCAGAACUUUUCAAAGCUUGUCCACCUUCGCUACCUAAGGAUUAAGGGGGAUUACCAUUUUCUGGAAACAGACCUACCAGGAACAAUUUCAAGACUAUAUCACUUGAAGAUCCUAGACAUUAAAGAUUCCUCGAGCUGCCCUAUGCCAUCAAGAUAUUUAAGCAACCUCGUAAGCAUGCAACAUUUUCUUGUCCCUGGCAAUAAUAGCCUUCACUCAGACAUUCUCAACGUGGGAAACCUGAAACUUCUACGAGAACUAAGAAGAUUUGAAGCUAAGAAAGAAAAUAAAGGUUUUGAGUUAAAGCAACUAGCAGAACUACUAGAGCUUGAAGUACUGGGCAUUUACAAUCUUGAAAAGGUUAAAGUAAAGGAAGAAGCAGUUGCAAUAAAACUAAUACAAAAACACCAUUUACAAGAGCUCGUACUAGAUUGGGAUAUUAAUCGCUCCGAUAAGGAUCCUAUAGGAGAAGAGAAUAUCCUUGAAAGUCUUAUGCCACAUAGCAAUCUCUACAAGCUAUCUAUUGCUGGGCAUGGAGGUGACACUUGCCCUUCAUGGCUUGGUACGAACCUCUCGGUAAAAACUUUGGAAUCUCUUCGGCUGAGUAACGUAUCUUGGAAAACAUUUCCAUCUCUAGGAGAGAUGUGGUUUGUCGGUGAACAUUGUAAAAGCUGUAUACCAGAACAAAGCUUCAAAAAAUUGAAGAGGCUAGAACUGGAAAAGGUACCAAAAUUGAUAAAAUGGGUUGGGAAUGGCCCUUCUGAUUUGUUCUCUCACUUGGAAGUACUCGUCAUCAAAGACUGCCCAGAACUCAUGGAGUUGCCAUUUUCACAUUGUGCUGGAUAUGGACAACACGUUGAGGAUAACAUGACCUGGUUUCCUAAACUGGAAAAGCUCGAAAUUGCAGAUUGUCCAAAGCUAUCAUCAUUGCCUUGUGUUCCAUGGUCUAGCUCUACUUGCAGAGCUGAGAUUGUACAAGCUGGUUCGGGUAUUGAGCAGCUGUCUUUCAGUGGAGAUAGGUUGAAAAUUGAGGGAAAGGACACAUUGGAUAGUGCUUUUUGGAGGGUGUUAGCCUUUCAUAACCUAUCCAAACUUGAAGAAUUGUGGGUGACGACAUGCCCUCCUUUGUCACUGGUUCACCUCGAAAAGCUAUCAUCCCUAGAGAGCCUCUGGAUAAAUGAUAUGGGUGAGGCCUUUUGUUCGGCUGAAAGUGAUGGUCAUGCCGGAUAUCAAUUUCCAGUUGAACGCAUCACGAUUGGGCGAUAUGGUGGUAGUGGGCAGCGACUGACACGACUGCUCUCUUACUUCCCAAACCUCCGCACGUUCUGGUUGUUCAAGUGUGAGAAGUUAACAGGGUUAGGCGUUGUGGGCCUGCAUAAGAGGACGGAAGCACUGCCAAGACCGCCGUCAAUUUCAGUUAACCAAGUGGAGGAGGCACAAGUUGGACAGCACGAGCAGCAGGGCGCAAGAGCAGGGGAGGAAAUAACAUCAGAAGGGGUACUAUUGCUGCCUCACCAAUUACAAAGUUUGUUGAUCUUGGACUGCCAAAAUUUGGUCCUCUGCCCAGGUUUACUCGACCACGACGAAGACGAAGGACGAACCGGAGGCCUCCAAGGUCUGAGCUCCCUCACUUCAUUAAUUAUAAGGAGAUGCCCCAGGUUCCUCUCCUCCUAUUCGUCGUCGUCCUCUUCUUCUUGUUUCCCUUUCCCAACCUCCCUGGAAUCUCUCUAUCUUAGCAGCGUGGAGGGCAUGGAAACGCUGCUCCCUCUCUCGAACCUCACCUCUCUCACAGAGUUAGACAUACAGGAAUGUGGGGAUCUUAAAGGCGAGGGACUGCAGUCUCUCCUCGCCCAAGGCCGUCUCACCAGAUUAACUGUCCUCGAAACCCCCAAUUUCUUCGCUGGUUCCGAGCCCUCACUGCCGCGUGAACAAGAGCUUCCAUCCUCUUCAUCCAAACUGCAGGAGCUUCACACGGAUGACGUCGCGGGUGUCCUUGCUGCGCCCAUCUGUGCCUUGCUCUCUUCCUCGCUCACCCAAUUGGACUUUUCGAGGGUCAGAGAGGUGGAGCGCUUCACAAAGGAGCAAGAGGAGGCCCUUCAGCUCCUCACCUCCCUCGAGGGGAUCAGAUUUAGGCAGUGCGACAAGCUGCAGUGCCUCCCUGCAGGGCUGCAUAGACUUCCGAACCUCAAGAGAUUAAGAAUCUUCGGAUGUGCAGCCAUCCGAUCACUGCCCAAGGAUGGCCUGCCAGGUUCCCUGCUAAAGUUGGAGAUAGACAGUUGUCCAGGCAUCCGGUCUCUUCCAAAGGUGGAAUACCUUCCAAGUUCGCUGCGAGAAUUGGUUGUCGCUGAUGGGAACAGCGAGGAACUAAGAAGGCAUUGCCGCAAGUCGAUAGGAACCAUUCCAAUAGUCAGAGCCUGAUUUACCCAAAGGUAACAAAGAGGUGGAACUUCCUAGUCACCAAUUUCCCUUGCUUUUCCUAACCCUAUGAACAUCAGUUAUUCUCCUUUUGUUUAUUUGAUUACAGUUAUGGUUUCCUUCCAAAUAACCCACUUGUUUUCACCUAUGGUGCAGGGCUGUUGUUCGAAUUGGGAUUUUCACUGUACCCAAACAUGAUUCUCAGUUGUCAAGCGUGAACAUCUCAGGAUAUAUCUAACACGCUGUGCAUAAACUGGUUAGUAUCCUGUAUGCAAAAUCAUCCGAGAGUCCCACAAAAUAUCUACAAAUUUGAUCCAUAUUUUUUUGUUAAUCCUCUGCCAAUUGUUUUUGCUAAUUAUUUGGAUGUCUUUUUCUUAUAAUUAUUGAGGAGUUUAAACUUUUCGUAUUGGAGUUGAUAAAAAACUAUUGAUAGACAAUUUUCUCACUCACCGAACCCUGAUGUGUGAGUUUAUCAGUUUAAGAACGGCUUGUUGCUCCAACAACUUUCAAGUUGUCUUGGUGUACUGCUACAGAAAUAGGCUGCAUCCACAACAUAUUAACUCUGAAUUUAUUUGUUGGUUUUGCCAGUUCACCAGAAUAGUACUUCUCAGAUUGUAGGACCAACAUAUUAACUCUGAAUUUAUUUAUUGGUUUUGCCAGUUUACCAGAAUAGUACUUCUCAGAUUGUAGGACCUUUUUUGACUACUUGCCUUUGUUUUCUGAUCUAUUGCUGCACAAAAUAUUGCAUCCUUACGCUUUUCUGAUAUCCUAAUUUCUUUGCUUAAUGCUGGACUAAUUUGCUGUACCAACAUGGUAUCACCGAUGUCUCAUUUUCUGUAUUCCAAGUCAGCAUACUUAUUGGAGUUUGAUGGACUUAUGUCCAUAUGUAUUCUUAGUAUCUGCAAAAGUCUCCAUUGGAACAUAUGUAAGCAAAAGAAGUGGCAGAAGCUAACCUAGAAAGCAAAAUAUAAACUUCUUUUUGUACUGCCACAUAGAGUUCCAAAAAAAAGUCUCCAUUGGAACUUAUUUUGCUAAUUAUUUGGAUGUCUUUUUCUUAUAAUUAUUGAGUAGUUUAAACUUUUUGUAUUAUAGUUGAUAAAAAACUAUUGAUGGGGAGUUUUCUCACUCACAGAACACUGAUGUGUGAGUUUAGCAGUUUUAGAACCGCUUGCUGCUCCAACAACUUUAAAGUUGUCUUGGUGUACUGCUACAGAAAUAGGCUGCAUACACAACAUAUUAACUCUGAAUUUAUCUAUUGAUUUUGCCAGUUUUCCAGAAUAGUACUUUUCGGAUUGUUUAGGACCUUUUUUGACUAAUUUUUUCUUUGUUUUCUGAGGUAUUGCUGCAGAAAUCCUGUUUUAUGCUUAGUUUCAC
This 16301-nucleotide long non-coding RNA is filed under the name Setaria viridis. Its description in RNAcentral is "long non-coding RNA (SVIR_LNC008476)". The record is from RNAcentral. Lineage: Eukaryota; Viridiplantae; Streptophyta; Magnoliopsida; Poales; Poaceae.